UACGGGAGGGGCAAGCGUUGUUCGGAAUUACUGGGCGUAAAGGGCUCGUAGGUGGCCAACUAAGUCAGACGUGAAAUCCCUCGGCUUAACCGGGGAACUGCGUCUGAUACUGGAUGGAUUGAGUUCGGGAGAGGGAUGCGGAAUUCCAGGUGUAGCGGUGAAAUGCGUAGAUAUCUGGAGGAACACCGGUGGCGAAGGCGGCAUCCUGGACCGACACUGACACUGAGGAGCGAAAGCCAGGGGAGCAAACGGG
Molecule: ribosomal RNA, 253 nt
Filed under: uncultured bacterium
Lineage: Bacteria
Description: partial 16S ribosomal RNA
Rfam family: Bacterial small subunit ribosomal RNA
Source: RNAcentral